AUGACUAGAAAAAUCCAACAAACGUCAAGGCCAUACACAGCUUCCUGGGGCUCACUGGACUACCGGCGGUUCAUGCGAAACUUUGGAGUGAUAGCACGCCCACUGUUUAAUCUUCUCAAAAAGGGGGUGCCCUUUGUUUGGACACACACCACCGAGACAACCUUCCAGCUGCUCAAGACACGGCUGAUCACCGCGCCGGUGCUUGCGCUGCCGGACUUCUCUGACCUUUCUGCGUCGAGACGAAUGCCAGCGAGUACGGCAUUGGUGUUGUCCUGCAACAAGGAGGGCACGCAAUGGCGUUUAUGA
RNAcentral lists this ribosomal RNA (306 nucleotides) under Triticum aestivum (bread wheat). RNAcentral describes it as "partial small subunit ribosomal RNA". Lineage: Eukaryota; Viridiplantae; Streptophyta; Magnoliopsida; Poales; Poaceae. The record is from RNAcentral.